Molecule: long non-coding RNA, 1271 nt
Filed under: Citrus maxima (pomelo)
Lineage: Eukaryota; Viridiplantae; Streptophyta; Magnoliopsida; Sapindales; Rutaceae
Description: long non-coding RNA (CMAX_LNC001283)
Source: RNAcentral
GGACGUGGACGAUAACCGAACGUGAACACCGUUACUGUGAGUGGAAUAUACAAAACCUAUUUUCAUAGUUAAUUAUGAUAGUAAUGCAUGUUUGCGAAAUAAGUAUUUUAAAUGUUAUGAUUUAAUGAUUUCUCGAAAUGGAUUUUAUUCACGCAUUGAUGUUAUAUUAAAAUAUUUGGUUAAUGAUUUUUGUAUCGACUUUGAAUAAAGCAUGAUAAUAUUUUAAAGAUAAGAAAAAUGGAUUCAAAUGUGGUAUGAUUUAAAGUAUGGUUAAAAGGUAUGUGAAUAUGAGUAUAAUGAUUGUUUUUAAAAUCAUUAGACAGUACCCUUCCCCUCUAGAUACAAUGAUGCAGAUGAUAUGAAAUGAGAGGCCUUUGGGGCCCGUCUGAACACACAUAGAGGCUUUGGGCCAUGUGUUUGGGCGCUUUUGCCUUUUGGGGGCAUAUGCAUGAGGUAUGAUGAUUACAAAGAUACAGAUAUGAGAUACAGACAGAUAUUGAGAUACAGGCCUUUGGGGCCCGUCUGAGCACACACAGAGGCUUUGGGCCGUGUGCUUGGGCGCUUUUAUCCUUUGGGGACUAGAUUAUGCAUGCACAUAUAUGAUGAGAUAUGAGAUGGUAUUUCCCUGUCUAUCCGUGUAGCUCCAAGGCGUGACGGUACCCAGAUAGUACGUCAUUGCCCGUCCGUUGAGGUCCAGAUAUGAUGAGAUUAUUUCCCUGGGUACUUGUUUGGUGAUGAUUUUCAGAUUUGUGUAUCCUAUAUGAUAUUGUGAUAUGAUUUCCAUGGUUAUUAAUCUGAUUUAAAUGUUAAAUGAUUUAUUACUGGUUUCUCGCAUAUGAUUUGAUGAAAUCGUGUUUGGAAAUGAUAUGAUUAUCUCUUUUAAAGUGCUAUCCACUCACUAAUCUCACUGAGUUUUAAACUCACCCCUUUUUUUAUUAUAUUUCCCCCCCCCUCACCAGGAGGUUGCAGGUACACCAGACCGACCCAGCGAUUGUAAAUAGAUUUUGAGUCUUGGCCACGUGAUGGUGUUAGAAGAUAUAAAUGUUUUUGUUAGGACAUCUUGGUUAUCUCGUCCUGUUGGGAUUGUAUAAUUUUGUUAUAUUAUUCUUUUGGGAUUAAGAAUAAACUGAGAUAUUAAUAUUAGUUAUAAUAUUAUCUUUUGAGACUCUGGAGAUAUAAAACUCAGCAUUUUGGUUGAGGAUGUUGAUCACUGGAGUUUGUUGUAUAUUGAAUUAUAUUGGGAGUGUUAUAUUCAUAUUUGUAGAUUGAGA